CCGCCCUGUGUGGGCCCCACACCGCUGGUAACCUUUUGCGUCGCCCAGCUUCAGGAUCAGGUCGGUUCUAUUCCCCGACGCCGCUCCGCUCCUCCCGUCGCCGUCGCCUGUCGCUCUGUGCUCCCGUCUCCGCCGUCCCCAGGAGAGUACCUGCCGACGGCGCCGGAUCCUGAGUCGUCGGCAGAUGCGGACGGCUGCGCUGGUUUUGGUCUGGUCCACCGUCAGCCUCCUCGUCUAGCUCCCACUCGAGGUGUUGAAGACCGGGCGGUGAUUCGGUUUGGGAUGAAGCGAUUCGGGAGGAAGAAGGGCGGUGGGGACUGGCUAGUGGCAGAUCUGGGCCAAAUCGAUCGGCAAGUGUUGGUGCGGCUGUGGCAGAUUUAGGCCACAAGAAUUUAUGGGUACAACAUCCCUUGCCCUGCUCGUGCGUGAGGAUGCAGAUGCAUACAGUAAUCAGGUCCGCAACUUCCGCAUCGCGAUUUAAACCCAGAUGAAUGAAUGCUAAAGGAUCACGGAAGGCAGGCAGGUGGCAGGGUUCUCAGACAUCCAUGGGGACAUCACUGAUGGCCGCCGGCAGACCAUGAGGUGGCAGAUACCAGCGGCCGGCAUCCCGGCAGCAUCUCAUUCGGACUCACGACCAAUCCGCAAGCAUCAGCAUCAUUCUUUCAGAAAUGCCGUUCCUGAUGUGGUCAGUUGGUCUCUCUCUGCAUGGUGGUGGGAUCAAUCCUCCUGCGAUGCCCAUCUUUUACCAAAAAGCUGGUAGUGAUGAGCAUAUGUGCAACAAUGUGUAGUGAUCCAGGAUCAAGCUCCCAGUAGAGAGGAGAAAGUGUGGUAGCCUCUUCUUUCAGGUGCAUUGUCCGUUUGUUCUUUCUUCUAUUGUCGACUAGCAUCGUAUAUUAUGUGAAACUCCACCGGUGCAUGUGUUCGGAUGGUGAGUUUUUAAUUUGGCUUAUUAAUUCCUGAUUUCAACUUCUGUCAUUGGUUGUAGAUAACCGUCAUCAUCCUUUUGCUAGUGUUAUGAUCUCUCGACAACGACCAUGGCCAGAUAUCUGCGAACACUAGAUGCUCAUGGCGCUCGCUCCUUGGAAGCUCAGCCUCAGGAAAGAUAGGUGAGCUAACUCCCAUCUCUUAGUGAUUGGUCACUUUAUUAUUUGUUGAUCGAUUUACACUUUCAGUAGGAAAAAUGUAUAUUAAUAGGAUUUAUUGUCCUUAUGUGUUGGCUAGGGAAGGAGGGUUUCUUUAGCUAGGACUGUCACUGUAUUCUAGUAAAAAUCUCUUUCAGAAUUCGUUAUUAUGUGCGAUAUGGAGAAAGAAUGUGCAGAAAUGAUGCACUCCUUUGCACUGAUCAUAGCUGUUUACUUAGUUAGUGUGUUCAGUCCUUUGCUGCUGUGUAGUAAAUUUCAUUUCUUUUUUGUUUUAUCUGAGCAAAAUAUCUGACCAGCAGUCUCUCUUCUUCCUACCUACUACAAAUCCAUCCAUUCAUCUCCAGGAUCAGGUUGCUUUUCAGAACACCUUUCUCUUUGGUUCCUGUUUAUGUCAGUUUACUAAUCUAUUCCUCCCAAUUUAUUCUGCUUUAAUGGCAUAAUGGCACUGAAACUAUCACUUCCUGUUUAGGUGCAAGUGCUUUGACAGAUGAAGUAAAUGUAUGUAUUAAGUUCCUUUUAUCAGUCUUGUAGCAGGGGUUAAUAAUUUUUAUCCUGAUGUAUGAUCAGGUCUGUUGAUUGUUGAAGGUGAUAUUAAACUGAACUCUGCUCUCUCCACUAUGAUAGCUUGCUAGCUCUGCUCUUAGAACCUGAUCUCAGUUUAGUCCAGUGGUCGCUCAAGUUCUAAUACUUGAACAUGGGUAUGCAUUCUGUAAAUUCUAAAGCACAUCAAAAUUGAUAUAAAUUCUUAUCAGGUUUCAAUAUAGUUAUAUAAAAUCAGCUCCACAUUUCUACUGCUUGGAUUUUUUUCUCUUUCUGAGCUAUCCUUUAUAUGAAUUCUGUAAGAUUGUGUUCAAGGAUCUUAUUUACAGGUGGGUGUUUUGAUCAAGUUGUGAUGAAGAUCUUUUGCCUCAGAAGAAACUAAGGUGGCAGAUGAUGCCAGAAGAUCAUAACUGCACUUGCCACAAAUGUAAAAGACACUCGGAUGCAGCUAUGCAUAUUUGUGGAGUGGAGAGGUGCUGAACUUUUACUUUUAGUCAAAGCUAUGUAGUCAGUCCCCCCUGAUGAUAUAUAGUCAAAAUUUCAAGUGCAAAUGUCCAGUAUUGGACUAUAAAAGUAGUUUAAUCUUCAUAAUGUGUAGAAACGAUACUUAAGAACCUACUCCGAAGACUUGUCAGUUGUACAAAUGUUAAAGCUGUUUUGGAGCACGUGUUUAAAAUCUUAUUAUUUGUAUUUUGGUGACUCUGUUUUUGUUAAAAAUGAAGAACUUUGCUA
This is a long non-coding RNA of Panicum virgatum (switchgrass), 2414 nucleotides long. RefSeq lists it as uncharacterized. Lineage: Eukaryota; Viridiplantae; Streptophyta; Magnoliopsida; Poales; Poaceae. The record is from RefSeq and is a predicted model, not a curated record. The transcript is spliced from 4 exons.